Molecule: ribosomal RNA, 1165 nt
Filed under: Lactiplantibacillus plantarum
Lineage: Bacteria; Bacillati; Bacillota; Bacilli; Lactobacillales; Lactobacillaceae
Description: bacterial SSU rRNA
Rfam family: Bacterial small subunit ribosomal RNA
Source: RNAcentral
AAUGCAAGUCGAACGAACUCUGGUAUUGAUUGGUGCUUGCAUCAUGAUUUACAUUUGAGUGAGUGGCGAACUGGUGAGUAACACGUGGGAAACCUGCCCAGAAGCGGGGGAUAACACCUGGAAACAGAUGCUAAUACCGCAUAACAACUUGGACCGCAUGGUCCGAGCUUGAAAGAUGGCUUCGGCUAUCACUUUUGGAUGGUCCCGCGGCGUAUUAGCUAGAUGGUGGGGUAACGGCUCACCAUGGCAAUGAUACGUAGCCGACCUGAGAGGGUAAUCGGCCACAUUGGGACUGAGACACGGCCCAAACUCCUACGGGAGGCAGCAUGUAGGGGAAUCUUCCACAAUGGACGAAAGUCUGAUGGAGCAACGCCGCGUGAGUGAAGAAGGGUUUCGGCUCGUAAAACUCUGUUGUUAAAGAAGAACAUAUCUGAGAGUAACUGUUCAGGUAUUGACGGUAUUUAACCAGAAAGCCACGGCUAACUACGUGCCAGCAGCCGCGGUAAUACGUAGGUGGCAAGCGUUGUCCGGAUUUAUUGGGCGUAAAGCGAGCGCAGGCGGUUUUUUAAGUCUGAUGUGAAAGCCUUCGGCUCAACCGAAGAAGUGCAUCGGAAACUGGGAAACUUGAGUGCAGAAGAGGACAGUGGAACUCCAUGUGUAGCGGUGAAAUGCGUAGAUAUAUGGAAGAACACCAGUGGCGAAGGCGGCUGUCUGGUCUGUAACUGACGCUGAGGCUCGAAAGUAUGCGUAGCAAACAGGAUUAGAUACCCUGGUAGUCCAUACCGUACACGAUGAAUGCUAAGUGUUGGAGGGUUUCCGCCCUUCAGUGCUGCAGCUAACGCAUUAAGCAUUCCGCCUGCGGAGUACGUCCGCCAGUCUGACACUCACAGUAAUUGACGGGGGCACGCACAAGCGGUGGAGCAUGUGGUUUAAUUCGAAGCUACGCGAAGAACCUUACCAGGUCUUGACAUACUAUGCCAAUCUAAGAUAUUAGACGUUCCCUUCGUGAAAUGGAUACAGGCGGUGCAUGUUCUCGUCAACUCGGCCCUUAGAAGUCGGAUUAGUCCCGCACCAGCCCUACCCUUAUAAUCGGUGCCAGCCUUAAGUGGUCACCCUGGGUGAACUCCGCUCACAACCGCCCCAAGGGGGAUGGCGCCAAUCCCCG